GGAAGUUCUCUUGAUCCUGAUCGUAAACAAAAAGAGGCAGCAGCAGCUGCUGCAGCUGCUCUUGCUGAAAAGAAUAAACAAUAUAGUUUAAUGAAAGAUAGUAGCAGUUCUCCAUCUCCAGUAAGAGAAAGAGAAAAGAUCAAAAAAAAGAAGAAAUCUAGAGAGGAAUCUGAAAGUCCUAUUCGUAUCAAAAAGAAAAAGACUUCAAAGAAACACAAGAGGGAGCGAUCACAAUCUCAUGAUCAAAAAAAAAAAAGAAAGAAAAAAAGAAAAAGUGGAAAAGAAAAGCGUAAACAUAGAAGA
RNAcentral lists this long non-coding RNA (303 nucleotides) under Androctonus crassicauda. The record is from RNAcentral. Lineage: Eukaryota; Metazoa; Arthropoda; Arachnida; Scorpiones; Buthidae.